RNAcentral lists this ribosomal RNA (292 nucleotides) under uncultured bacterium. RNAcentral's name for it is "partial 16S ribosomal RNA". It matches the Rfam family "Bacterial small subunit ribosomal RNA", at positions 505 to 796 of the family's 1533-position model. The record is from RNAcentral.
GUGUCAGCCGCCGCGGUAAUACGGAGGUUCCAAGCGUUGUUCGGAAUUACUGGGCGUAAAGGGAGCGCAGGCGGACAGGUCAGUUUAAAGUGGAAUCCCAGGGCUCAACCCUGGACGUGCUUUGGAUACUGCCUGUCUUGAGUUCGUGAGAGGAAAGUGGAAUUCAGGGUGUAGCGGUGAAAUGCUUAGAUAUCCUGAGGAACACCAGUGGCGAAAGCGACUUUCUGGCACGAAACUGACGCUGAGGCUCGAAAGCAUGGGUAGCGAACGGGAUUAGAUACCCCUGUAGUCC